Molecule: long non-coding RNA, 3661 nt
Organism: Gasterosteus aculeatus aculeatus (three-spined stickleback)
Lineage: Eukaryota; Metazoa; Chordata; Actinopteri; Perciformes; Gasterosteidae
Source: Ensembl
AGCACCUUUGAAAUGAUCCAACUCCCCGUAUCAAGCACACCUGGUGCACUAAUCAAGGGCUUCAUUAGUUCAGGUGUGCUUGAGAUAGAACACACCUGGUCUGGCUCCGGGUUUAUUGAGAGUGACGUUUGAUUGCAUGUUAGAAAUUGUCCAAAAAGUUCAGAGAAGAGAUCGUUGCCUUGCACAAACAAGGAAAAUGAUACAAAAAGAUAGCAAAAGCACCGAAUGUCCCUAGAAAUACAGUUGGAAGCAUAGUUGGCAAGUUGAAAGUUGAAGGACCAGCGGCUACGCUACCUGGACGUGGCAGAAAGAAGAAGCUGUCAGCGGCUGCCACCAGAUUCCUGAGGAGGCAAGUGGUCAAAAACCCUCGAGUGACUGCAGAACACCUGCAGCAAGACUCGGUGGCAGCAGGCGCUGAGGUUUCAGUUUGCACAGACUGGUCAUGGAUGUGUAUGCUGAUCUCUGCCGUUCAUUUGGACUUCCUGUGUGGAUAGCUUCCUUGCUCCACGCUGCCAAACGCCUGAAGAGUGACUGCGCCCGUCGCAAGAAGGUCUACAGGCUCCUGCAAAGGAAACUGGUCGGUGCCCAUGUGAUAAAAUGCAAAUAUGUGAUCCAGCCAUUGCUUUUCUAUAUCACAUAUUUUGAAUUUUGCACAGUGAUUAACACAAUAAUGUGAAUUGAAAAUUACUUUUCAUUUAGCAGUACUCAAGACCAUGAUAGUUUGUGGUCCCUGUUCUUUCUAAAUGAAAAAUGAAAAUCCUGCUUCAUCUGAAAAUGUGUGUUGCACAUGAGUGAGUCCGACUUGCUGCUGUGAGGUUUGUGGUUCCAGAACCACCUCCAGCUAUCUGUUCGUCCCCACCCAUGGACAUUCUCCCUCACAGUCCACCAUUGUGAUAUAUGCAACUACUUCAACAAGGACUAGUAAAAAGCAGGAUUCACUUCAAAACUGAUGCUUACAUUUGAUUAAUGGCAAACAUUUGGGAGCCAUCUUCAUCCUUUGAAGCUGUCAAUAUUGCUAGUAUUUUUUAUCUGUAGCAUGUCCUGCUGCAAAUGUAGCUAACUUCCAUUCUCAGCUUUUCAUGUAUAGACUCAUGGAAAUUUUGUUAAAAGUUAUGGAAAAGUUCUGAAUGAAAAAUUGUGUACUUUUUCUGUUCUAUUUCUUCAACUUUUUGAAAGUACAUCACCAAAAAAACAAAUAUUGCCUUAAAAUGCAGAAAAUGGGCAAUUUGUUAAAAUGAAAUGGACAUUUUUGGACAUUAUACAGGACACUGACACAUUUUCAGUCUGCAGUUUGGGCUGGGCGCCCCCUAAUAUAAUGGUACAGGAAACCCUGGUAAGCAUAAGUUUGGUCAAUAACUUAAUCCCUAGUAUAUGGUACACAUUUAGACUAUGUCAUGUUGGUUGUGGUGCUGGACUCAAGACCAGAACACAGCAGCAAAGGUUCGAGAACCAGGGGUAUAAAUUUGUCCUGUUAUUGACCAGCCUAAUAUUAGAAUAUAUGUCUUUUUUUAAAGCGAAUAUUUGAAUGUCCUUUUUAAACGAUUUUGACAGCCCUAAUGCUCAGGCUUUUUGUUUUAACAACUGCAGACACCACGAUGGUCCGCCUCCGAAAUCACCUGAAAUGUGCCUUUGCUUUCAGACGAUUCAAACUGUCCAACCACCACGGCUGUCUGCUCUCGGUGUGUUCACCCAGUCCUCUAGUUCGUUCUCUGUUUCGGGCCAGUGGCACUUUCUUCCUCUGACUGCUUUGUGAGACUUCUUGCAUCUUCUCCUUCUUGCAAGUUCUGCAGCCUCCAAUCUGGAACCAUGGACUCCUUGAUCCGUUUGAGUGCCGCAGCUCGGUUCCCCUUUCAAUGGCCACGUCAAUAGCCUUUAGUUUAAAAGCCGCUGUCACACGUUACAGCGUGUCUUCGACAUGUUUAUAUCUGGGGAUGAGCGAUGGCGGGAAUAAAUACCGAAAUCAACCACGCCCUUAUUUUAUCCGCCGGGGUCAAAGGUGAGAAUAAAGGAAAGUAACAAGUUUCGGCUUAAAACCGGCAUUUAAGGAUACUUUCAGUAUGUGUCCUGGGUUAGUUUUAAGAUGUGAGCCAAUGUAACCGGUCCAGACCUAGAGGUGUCUGGACCGGUAACAUGUGAUUCACACUGGAUUAAUGAAGAGACAUACAUCGUGGGUACGUCUUCAUCGAGCCAGCGUCAUUUCAUUCUGGCUCACGUCGCUUGGUUUGCUCCCCGGUGGCACACAUUCGCCAUCUAACGAUGUGGAGGAGUAGGUCCACGAUGCGUUUGACUGCUCAAAAACCUAUUACAUCACCACUGGAAUACAGGAGCCGCAGCAUGGACACAACAGGAAAGUAGAAACCUGAAAUAAAAGUCUGAGAAUAACCGUCUACCAUUUGAAGAGAGUGAGACACAACAUUGAUAGUUGGUCCUCACUAACCACUAUUUAACUAUUUAGACCUACAGUAUUCUUGUAAAACCCCUUAAACGGAUUAUAUAUCCCACCUGGACAGGUCUGGGAAAGUCGGGACUACCUUGCUUUACAUUGACCUGGAUAAGAGAAAAUGGACGAAAAAACUAUUUUUUUAGCAUUGACUAUUAGUUAUGAAAUAGUAUUCCCAGGUGUUCCUAUUUCUUUUCUUUGAUUCCCAGAUGUACACGGGGUCGGUGUGAAGGGGGGGGAUCGGUGCCACCCCACAUACGUCUACCCUGAGGAGGUGAAACAGUUGAUUCGUUGUGUGUUCUCACAGGACAUCUGUGACUACCCCGACCCCUGCCACGACCAGGUGGUGUACGUCACUCUGGAGGAUUUGCACAAAGUUGACAUCAACUGAAGUGUGUGUCUCUUCUUCUAUGCUGAUGAACAACUUCCAGUCAUGGAUCAGCAACAGUUUUGCAAUGUGGGAAGUUGAUUCUCGAGGGUGUUGAUUGAAAGCUUAUUUCAAGAUGUUUUACUGAGUGGUUUCAGUGUCCCUCAACAUGAAUAUUAGGGUUUACAAAUAUUGUAUAUUUAUAUUGGAUCUCCACUCUUGACAAAUUACAGCUGUCAAGCUCAAAUGCUGAUCCACUAUAAGAACCGACUACAGCAUCUGACCGUUUGUGUAGUUACAAUGCCAAGUAGAAUUCACAAUACAUUCAUUGUAUUUAAUUGUAAUUAAUAUGGAGGGACAAUUUUACUCUGUAAUACAAACAGUAAUAAAACAGUGUUUUCUGUUAUUUUUUCCAAUAAAAGAAUAAAAAGUGUUCCACUACCAAUAGGGUUGUAUUUAAUCCGAAAACAUCUAGAUGUCGAGAAGAAAACAACCUUGAAACCUUGAGGCAGCGGUGUCCAGAUUUGAUGAUGUAAAGAUGCCUGGGGGCCAAUAGUACCUUCUGACAUUUUUAACCAUAAAAGUUACAUGAGAUACACGUUCAUUGUCACCAUUAUCUAGUUUUUUUCCAAUGGCAAUGUAGCCAACGAUAUUCCACUCAGGCAGGCAUCGACAACUCUAAAAGCACUGGUUUGUCUUUUAUUCAUCAUUGAACGAACUCCAUGAAGUUGAUAAAUACCUUUUUACAUUGUGAUCCUUUUAAACAGGAUUGAAUAAAUAACUCUGCUAAAGGAGGAAUUGCAUUUUAAAGUUUCAUGGUUUAUUUAACUGUGCUAGCAGGACAUACACAAUAC